This 303-nucleotide ribosomal RNA is filed under the name uncultured soil bacterium. Its description in RNAcentral is "bacterial SSU rRNA". It matches the Rfam family "Bacterial small subunit ribosomal RNA", at positions 26 to 322 of the family's 1533-position model. The record is from RNAcentral.
AGAGUGAACGCUGGCGGUAGGCCUAACACAUGCAAGUCGAACGGCAGCACGGUAAGAGCUUGCUCUUAUGGGGUGGCGAGUGGCGGACGGGUGAGGAAUACAUCGGAAUCUACCUUUUGGUGGGGGAUAACGUAGGGAAACUUACGCUAAUACCGCAUACGCCCUUCGGGGGAAAGCCGGGACCAGCAAUGGCCUGGCGCUGAGUAGAUGAGCCGAUGUCGGAUAGCUAGUUGGUGAGGUAAUGGCUCACAAGGCGACGAUCCGUAGCUGGUCUGAGAGGAUGAUCAGCCACACUGGAACUGA